GAUGAACGCUGGCGGCGUGCUUAAUACAUGCAAGUCGAACGGACAGGCCCUGCUUUUGCGGGUUGCACGUGAGGCGCACGGGUGAGAAAAACGCGAGUAACCCGCCCCUGUAUUUGUGAUAACAUUAGGAAACUGGGGCUCAUACCGGAUAGGAGCUUUUGAUGCACGGUGGGGGUUGGAAAGUUUCGGCGGUUGGGGAUGGACUCGCGGCUUAUCAGCUUGUUGGUGUGGUAGUGGCUGACCAAGGUUUCGACGGAUAGCCGGCCUGGGAGGGUGACCGGCCACAUUAGUACUAAGAUACGCCCCAGACGCCAACGUGAGGCAGCAGGGGAGAGUAUGGCACAGUGAGCGGAAGCCUGUGACAGCAGCGCCGCGUGCGUGAUACCGUCCUACGGGGUGUAAACCGCUGUCUCCGGUGAUGAAGCGUGAUUGACGGUAAUGAGUAAAGAAGCACCGGCUAACUACGUG
Molecule: ribosomal RNA, 468 nt
Filed under: uncultured bacterium
Lineage: Bacteria
Description: partial 16S ribosomal RNA
Rfam family: Bacterial small subunit ribosomal RNA
Source: RNAcentral